RNAcentral lists this ribosomal RNA (406 nucleotides) under uncultured bacterium. RNAcentral describes it as "partial 16S ribosomal RNA". It matches the Rfam family "Bacterial small subunit ribosomal RNA", at positions 30 to 526 of the family's 1533-position model. The record is from RNAcentral.
AUUGAACGCUGGCGGCAGGCCUAACACAUGCAAGUCGAACGAGCGGCGGACGGGAGAGUAAUGACUGGGAAUAUGCCUGAUGGAUGGGGAUAACUCAUGGGAACGGUUGCUAAUACCGCAUACCAUAGGAUGAGCCCAGAUGGGAUUAGGUAGUUGGUGGGGUAACGGAUCACCUAGGCGACGAGCCCUAGCUAGUCUGAGAGGAUGAACAGCCACACUGGAACUGAGACACGGUCCAGACUCCUACGGUAGGCAGCAGUGGGGAAUAUUGGACAAUGGGCGCAAGCCUGAUGCAGCCAUGCCGCGUGUAUGAAGAAGGUCUUCGGAUUGUAAAGUACUUUCAGCUGGGAGGCGUUACCCGCAGAAUAAGUACCGGCUAACUCCGUGCCAGCAGCCGCGGUAAUUC